This 254-nucleotide ribosomal RNA is filed under the name uncultured bacterium. RNAcentral describes it as "partial 16S ribosomal RNA". It matches the Rfam family "Bacterial small subunit ribosomal RNA", at positions 524 to 776 of the family's 1533-position model. The record is from RNAcentral.
UACGUAGGGUGCAAGCGUUGCCCGGAUUUAUUGGGCGUAAAGGGCGCGUAGGCGGUCAGCACAAGUCAGUUGUGAAAUCUCCGGGCUUAACUCGGAAAGGUCAACUGAUACUGUGCGACUAGAGUGCGGAAGGGGCAACUGGAAUUCUCGGUGUAGCGGUGAAAUGCGUAGAUAUCGAGAGGAACACCUGCGGCGAAGGCGGGUUGCUGGGCCGACACUGACGCUGAUGCGCGAAAGCCAGGGGAGCGAACGGG